CAGUAGCCGCGGUAACACGGAGGGUGCAAGCGUUAUCCGGAUUCACUGGGUUUAAAGGGUGCGUAGGCGGAUCUGUAAGUCAGUGGUGAAAUCUCCAGGCUUAACCUGGAAACUGCCGUUGAUACUAUAGGUCUUGAAUUUUGUGGAGGUUAGCGGAAUAUGUCAUGUAGCGGUGAAAUGCAUAGAUAUGACAUAGAACACCAAUUGCGAAGGCAGCUGGCUACACAACUAUUGACGCUGAGGCACGAAAGCGUGGGGAUCAAACAGGAUUAGAUACCCGCGUAGUCCCUGUCUCUUAUAC
RNAcentral lists this ribosomal RNA (301 nucleotides) under uncultured bacterium. RNAcentral describes it as "partial 16S ribosomal RNA". It matches the Rfam family "Bacterial small subunit ribosomal RNA", at positions 509 to 807 of the family's 1533-position model. The record is from RNAcentral.